RNAcentral lists this long non-coding RNA (447 nucleotides) under Physcomitrium patens. RNAcentral describes it as "long non-coding RNA (PPAT_LNC012707)". The record is from RNAcentral. Lineage: Eukaryota; Viridiplantae; Streptophyta; Bryopsida; Funariales; Funariaceae.
AUUGGAUAGAAUUGUGUAAUUUGGAUUCGUAAUGACUUUGGAUGAGCUUUAUAAAGUCAAGUUUGUUUUCACAUGACUUGGAUUUUUAUGAAAUAAAAUAAGGUUGAUGUUUUGGAUAAUUUCAAGAGUUUUGUAAUAGAUCUAUGGAUGAAAUUUUGUAGGUUAAUGCUUAUAGUUGUGCUUAGUAUGUGUUGUAAAUUUUAGCUAGAUCUAAUGGUUGAAUUGAGGGUUAUUGAGGUUUAAGUGGAUCAAGGUUUCAAAAAGUAGAAUUUUAGGUCCAGUGAGGAUUUUAAGAUUUCUUACAAUCUACUAGUUGAAUUGGAAUAGAAGUUGUGUGUUUGAGUAGUAGACUUGUUUUCUUUUGUAUAUGAGAAUUUUGAGAUUGAUUAAAUAGUUUGAUAAGAAGAAAUUGGUGCUAGAAAUUUUAUAUUUAGAUUAGAGAAGAAG